GGAUCAGCUGAAAUAUUUGUGGGGAAAAUGGGUCAUUUAUACAAAGAAAUAUUUUGUAAAGACAUGCAUAUGAUAUGCAAUAUUCUAUGUAUGCAAUGUAUGCUUGAUCCUUUUUUUUUGUCUUUCUCUAUAUUUCUCAUUAUUUUCCUUUUUAUUAUUUUCUUUUUCUUUCUUGCAUCCACUAACAAGUUUUGGCAUGUAACCGAUAAUCGAGGUAUUCCUG
RNAcentral lists this long non-coding RNA (223 nucleotides) under Lathyrus oleraceus (garden pea). RNAcentral describes it as "Pisum sativum (pea) long non-coding RNA (PSAT_LNC011195)". Lineage: Eukaryota; Viridiplantae; Streptophyta; Magnoliopsida; Fabales; Fabaceae. The record is from RNAcentral.